CAGCCAGGUCUGCGUUUCUCCCAUGCGUUUGAUGAAUUCCAACUUGAUGGUCCACUCGAAUGUGACCUUUAAACUUUAUACAGGUUGUCGUCGCCUUGUGUCCCCACGGCUCUCCCAGGGACAGGGAAACUGAGUCAUAUCAAGGUGGAAGGCAGCUGAAGGAACCUUCCCUGUAUACUGUCAAAGCCAUCCUGAUUCUGGACAAUGAUGGAGAUCGACUUUUUGCCAAGUACUAUGACGACACCUACCCCAGUGUCAAGGAGCAAAAGGCCUUUGAGAAGAACAUUUUCAACAAGACCCAUCGGACUGACAGUGAAAUUGCCCUCUUGGAAGGCCUGACAGUGGUAUACAAAAGCAGUAUAGAUCU
RNAcentral lists this small RNA (367 nucleotides) under Pongo abelii (Sumatran orangutan). RNAcentral's name for it is "processed transcript". The record is from RNAcentral. Lineage: Eukaryota; Metazoa; Chordata; Mammalia; Primates; Hominidae.